AAAAAAUGAAANUUUUCACUAAAAAAUUUUACUUUU
RNAcentral lists this ribosomal RNA (36 nucleotides) under Coscinasterias muricata. RNAcentral describes it as "partial 16S ribosomal RNA". Lineage: Eukaryota; Metazoa; Echinodermata; Asteroidea; Forcipulatida; Asteriidae. The record is from RNAcentral.